RNAcentral lists this RNase P RNA (352 nucleotides) under Clostridia bacterium. RNAcentral describes it as "RNase P RNA component class A". It matches the Rfam family "Bacterial RNase P class A". From Rfam's summary of the family: Ribonuclease P (RNase P) is a ubiquitous endoribonuclease, found in archaea, bacteria and eukarya as well as chloroplasts and mitochondria. Its best characterised activity is the generation of mature 5'-ends of tRNAs by cleaving the 5'-leader elements of precursor-tRNAs. The record is from RNAcentral. Lineage: Bacteria; Bacillati; Bacillota; Clostridia.
CAGCUCCGCCAAACGGUCGCGCGGUAUGUUGCCGAAAGGUAUUACCGUGAGGAAAGUCCGGGCUUCAUAGGACAGGAUAGCUGAUAACGUCAGCCACGGGUAACCGUCGGGAAAGUGCAACAGAAAUAAACCGCCGCGCAAGCGGUAAGGAUGGAAAGGCGAGGUAAGAGCUCACCCGUUCCUAUGGUAACAUAGGUCCGCUGUAAACCCUAUUCGAAGCAACACCCCAUACAAGGCUUGUCCGGCACAUCUUGGGGGUGGCACAAAACUUUGUUUUGAAGCUUUGCGGUGACGCAAAGCGAAGAUUGAUGACCGUUCACGACAGAACCCGGCUUACAGGCGGGACUGAAAA